This is a long non-coding RNA of Trachymyrmex septentrionalis, 253 nucleotides long. RefSeq lists it as uncharacterized. NCBI's taxonomy places the organism in Eukaryota, Metazoa, Arthropoda, Insecta, Hymenoptera, Formicidae. The transcript has 3 exons. The record is from RefSeq and is a predicted model, not a curated record.
GCGACAGCUCGGGAUAAAUUGGCUCCGGAUGAGAUGGCGUCGUUAUUAUUUAGUAGCACGAAGAAAUACGUAAAAGAACAAGUGAAAUUAAAGCCGGAGCGGUGAUAAGAAUGACGGCGCGAAGAAUCGUGAGAUUAGUAUUGUACAGAGAUACUACAAUUCUGCUAUUGCGUAUCGUGUGUGAGUGCGACCUAAUAAGAAUCCGAUAACUUGAGGAGGUAAAGGAAGAAAUUUGAAAGUCUGAAAACAGGAA